CUGUGAAGGAUUUGCGGUUAUGAAGGAUAGGGAGUUUUUGGGUCUCUAGGCCUGUCCUCCCUGAUGCCAUUUGGCUUUGAUUUGGGGGCAUGGUUUUACAACAAAACG
Small nucleolar RNA from Rhododendron vialii, 108 nucleotides. RefSeq annotates it as small nucleolar RNA snoR100. The transcript has a single exon. The record is from RefSeq and is a predicted model, not a curated record. NCBI's taxonomy places the organism in Eukaryota, Viridiplantae, Streptophyta, Magnoliopsida, Ericales, Ericaceae.